RNAcentral lists this ribosomal RNA (209 nucleotides) under uncultured bacterium. Its description in RNAcentral is "partial 16S ribosomal RNA". It matches the Rfam family "Bacterial small subunit ribosomal RNA", at positions 1293 to 1500 of the family's 1533-position model. The record is from RNAcentral.
UCGGAUUGCAGUCUGCAACUCGACUGCAUGAAGCCGGAAUCGCUAGUAAUCGCGGAUCAGAAUGCCGCGGUGAAUACGUUCCCGGGUCUUGUACACACCGCCCGUCACACCAUGGGAGUCGGAAAUGCCCGAAGCCGGUGGCCUAACCGAUAAGGGAGGAGCCGUCGAAGGCAGGUCUGAUGACUGGGGUGAAGUCGUAACAAGGUAUC